UGUUUGUGUGUGUGAUUGUAUGUUUGUGCAUCUAUAUAUAUGUAUUGUAUCCUUUACGCAUCUCAGAAUUGUGGUUUUCCAAGAGAGAAUUGUCAAACAUAGGAGAAUAUGGCAAAUAAAUCUCUUCUCGUUUCUUAUCGUUGAUUAUCUUGCCAUUGUGUGUAUUCUUCCUUAAAUUCUCUUGUUUUUCUUUGUAACUUCAGAAUUAGAAUUUGUAAUUGUUAUUGAAAAAUAAAUAACUGGUAAAAAGGAAAAAAAUCUUUAAAAAAUCUC
Molecule: long non-coding RNA, 273 nt
Organism: Octopus sinensis (East Asian common octopus)
Lineage: Eukaryota; Metazoa; Mollusca; Cephalopoda; Octopoda; Octopodidae
Exons: 2
Source: RefSeq, a predicted model, not a curated record